AAAGAAGUCCCAGUCAAAGACAUGAAAAAUUACUUUCGAUUCCUUCACUCCAAAUGUCACAUCCACAGGGUUCGUGAUAUGAUUAUACUGCACAAACUCUUCAGUGGGAUCUAUCCACAACUGAGUGUGUAGUGAUGAAUCAUUUUCUUUUGUUGGGUCUAUAUAACUUCUGAGCUCAACAGCUUUGCCUCCAAUUUCAGUUGCAGUAUCAGGAGGUAAGCAAGUUGGAUUGGUAGCAAUGAUUGUGAUCUCUUGGAGAGUUGUUUGGAAGUUUGACAGUAACCUGUUCAG
RNAcentral lists this unclassified non-coding RNA (291 nucleotides) under Hevea brasiliensis (rubber tree). The record is from RNAcentral. Lineage: Eukaryota; Viridiplantae; Streptophyta; Magnoliopsida; Malpighiales; Euphorbiaceae.